UUCUAUUUGAUAUCUUUUUGUAUGUGUUUUUUCGUAAAAAAAGAAGGGGCUUUUACAAUCGAAAAAUGAAAGGCUUUAUAGCCGAAUCAUCAAAAUAAAAUAAUAAACACAAUUUUCUUUUUCUUUUUUCAUAUUGGCUUGUUGCUGCUGUUGUUUGUCUAUUUCUUCGCAGGUACGGAGUGUGCGUGGUGCGAGUACGGGGGCUGUGCUGGUGUACAGAGGCGCGGGCGUGGCUGCUGAAGGGUACGAAGGUGGGGCUGCUGCGGCGCAAGCAGAGAUUGCUAGGGUUCUGCUUUGAUUUUUUUUGUUUUUGGGCUGUAGGGUAUUUGGGUCUAGGUUUGGGCUUGUAAUAAGUUUGGGCUAAGUUAGGGUAUUUGGGUCAUUGUAAUAACUUUGGGCCUUGGACUGUUUCUAUUUUUACUUGGGUUUUUUAUGUAUUUGUUUGUAACGGGCUGGGCAAAUUUGGCCCACUACAGUUGCCCCUCUUUGCUUAUUGUCGUGUAACGAGAAUAGAGCAAAGACUAUAAAUGGGCCAAUUUUGCCUGGACGUGCUGAGUUUCGACUUCUUUUGACGCUUCUUUUCUUCAUGUAGCUUCAAUAUGCUCCACGGCAACUUCAGGGAGACAUGGUUCGUGUGUUUUUAUCCUGCUUUACAGCAAUUUCAGAGAGAUAAGGAUUGUGACUUCGAUCAGCUCCACUGUAACUUCAGGAAGACAAGAUCUGCAAUUUUCAGCCUGUUACCCUACUACUUAGGGGGUUAAGGCUUGUUUUCUUCGAUCUACUCCGCCGGAGACAAGAUCUGCAAUCUUCAACCUACUCCACUACAACUUUAGGGAGAUAGGAUGGUGGCUUAAAUUUGCUUCACUACAACUUCAGGAAGACAAGAUUCGCCGUUUUCGAUCUGCUCCACUGCAACUUUAGGGAAACUGUAACAGCCCGUUUUUAGGGUUGAUCGGAACAGUGGUUUCGGGGCCACCAAAUCCGAACGAGUAGGUUGAUAAAUAUUAUAUUUAAUAUUUAUGAGUUAAUUGUGAUUUUAAAAAUGUUUUUGAUAUUGUGAUUUUUGUUUUAUAAGCGAUUUAUUAAGUUCAAGUGGUAUGACUCUAAGGUCAAGUGGGUUUAGAAAAUGAGGUAUCGGGACCUUGUUUCUAUAAACCGAGUCGUAAAUAUUUUUGUAAAUAUUUACGUAGUGGCAAUAAGAUGGUAUUAAAGUUUCGUUGAAAAAUUUUAUCGUUUCGAUAGUUAAUUUGCAAAAAGGACUAAAUUGUGUAAAGUGCAAAAGUUGUGUUCUAUAACCUAAAGGUAUUAAAUAGAUAUAGAACUUAAAAGUAGAAGUCUUUAUUUGGUAAUUAGCCCAUUAAAGAGAUAGUGGGAUAUGAUGGCUUGGCAUUUGGUGUAAUAAAUAAAGUGUAUAAAGGUUAAUAUUGUAAAUUGGUUAAUAAUAAUAAUAAAAUGAAUAUAAUAAAAGAAUCAAUGUGUCAUCUUUUUCAUUCUCUUUUACUAGCCGAAUAUGAAGGCUUGAGAAGCCAUGGAAGAAGCUUCCAACUUUCAGCUAAUGCAUGAUCAAGAUCGGGUGGAAAAUCGAGAAAAAUAAGAAAAUUACCAAAAUGCCCCUGAACUUUGGUAUCUCUACAAUUUAGCCAGGUAAGUUCGUAUGCAAUAAGCAUUGUUAAAUUUAUGUUUCUAAUGCUUUAAUAUCGUAUAAAUUGUAUAUACAUGAAUAUUUUAAUGUCUGACGACAUAUCGACAAAAUGUGGCACUUAGUGUGCGGGGCAAUCAAAUAUGGUACUCAGUGUACGAAAUAUUGAGAAUGGCACUUAGUGUGCGAGAUAUUGAGAAUGACACGUAGUGUGCAAAAUAUCGAAUGAUUCAAAGGGAAAUUAUAAAUUGUGAUUGAAUGAUUAAAUAGAGCAAAGUAAACAGGUAUACAUGCUAUAUUAUAUGAAUUGUUUAUGAAACCUUGUGUUAAAUCGGCAAUUGAAUUUGUUCAAUACAUUAAGUUGGCCAGGUAUGUGAUAUAUACUUAUGCAUGUUAGAUUGAUUGGAAUUGAAUCAUGAAUGUGAAAUGAGAAGCUUUGGUGAAAAUGCCUAUGUCAUAUAUGUGAGUAAGGGCAAAACCAUCGUAAAUUAUCGAUAAGGGUGGACUAUGUGCGGAAUCAUCUUAUAAUUGCUAAUUUGAACGGUUGUGUGCAAAUCAUUGAGCAUGAUGUAUUUUAUUGAGAUUAUGCUUAAGUGAAAUUAUAAAUAUGUGGUGAAAUUGAUUGGUGAUAUACAUGUUUAAAUAAUGUGAAUGCAAAGAAUGUGUGAAAGAGUAAAUUUGUAAUAAAUCUGCUUGGGACAGCAGCAGUAACGUGAUUUUGGAAAAUCACCAUAAAUUUUUGGAGUUGAGUUAAAAGCUUAAUAAAUUAUGUAAUUAAAUCUUAAUGAGUCUAGUUUCUUAUAAAAGAAACCGUGUAAGCAAAAGAAUUUCUGAUAAUGAGAUAUUUGAAGUGGCGUGGGAUAGAGUCAAAUGACUUCGGGGUCCCCUGUUCUGUUUUUAUAAAAUCAUUAUAAUUUUUACAAAAAUGGUUAUAAGAUAAAAUUUAUAUGCUUAGACUCCUUAAUGAGUCUAGUUUCAAAUGAAAUCAAAGAGAACAUAUUUUGAAUUCUUUACAAUGAGAAAUUUGAUUCGUAGUGAAGAGUGGUUAGAUUAGUCAAACAGUGAAACAGGGGAAACUUUAAGAAAAAUCUGGUAUCGAUUGGCCAAACCAAAAAUUCUGAAAAUUUUAUGGAUGGAAGAUAUAUGAGUAUAUUUUCAGAGAAAAUUAACAGCAAUUGAUUUGGAGUUUUGUAGCUCCAGUUAUAAAUAAUUUAGUGACUAUUGCUCAGGAAGACAACUUGUAGUGAAUUUGUGAUUAUGUUGUAAACAUUGAUAAAACUUGUUAAUGAGUUGCUUAUUGUUUUCUUAUGAACUUACUAAGCGUAAAGCUUACUCCCCUUUUCUUUCCCAUAUUCCCUAGGGUUGCCAGGUUAGCUCGGGUUGGAGGCCGUCAAAGAUAUUAUCAUAUUGUCAAGUCUACGCUAUCGGCGUAAGUAAAUCUUAGUGUUUCGAGUCUAUGGCAUAUAUAGGGUUGUAAAGUUGAGUAAGUAAAUGAUACAAGACUAAGAUAUUGGUAAAUAUUUAAUAAUGCCUCAUGAAUAUUUUGGGCCUUGUAAGCCCGAUUAAAGGAUAAUAUACGUGUGUAUGAAAAGUUUAAAAUUGAUCAAAAAAUUUUACGGUCUAUUUUUAUAUAAAUAGAUGAGUUUAAAUCUGGUAGCACCUCGAACCCUGUUCCGGCGAGGGAUACGGGCGAAUGGUGUUACAUUUUAUUGGUAUCAGAGCCAUGUUUUAGUCGGUUCUAGGACUACCAUGGCGUAUGUGAGUCUAGCUGUACAUGCCAUAUUUGACCUGCGAUAGUGUGAUAUCUCCUGACUCUGACGAAAAUUAUUUGAAUAGGACAGAUAAGUCUUUCAAUCAAGCUAAUUUUAAUAGUAUAAAAUAUGUACUCAGAUGUUUGAAUGAAAUUGUGUUCUAUACUGAUUUGAUUAAAUUAAAGUUGGCUCUGAAAUGUUUAAGUGUUCAUGAAUAUAUGAAUCCAAAGUUAAAUGAAAUGAUAUGUUCAAAGUGCACAUAUGUGAUGUUUUAUAGACUUGGUUACGUCACUUCAAUGUGCAACAACAAGUGAACAUAGGCACUGUGUGUGUGAGUUCCGUAACCGAGCACUGUGUGUGCGAGAUCCGUUGUUGAGGCACUAUGUGUACGAGUUCUGUAACCGAGCACUGUGUGUGCGAGAUCGGUUGUUGAGCCACUGUGUGUGCGAGUUCCGUAACCAAGCACUGUGUGUGCGAGAUCGGUUGUUGAGGCACUGUGUGUGCGAGUUCUGUAACCGAGCACUGUGUGUGCAAGAUCGGUUGUUGGGGCACUAAGUGUGUGAAAUGAGAUCAUGUAAGACCUCGUCCGAGAUGAAGGCAUUGAUUUGAAGUAGUGUAUAAGAACGUGUCUGGGACACUGGCAUCACUUAUGAUUCGUGUAAGACCCUGUCCGGGACAAUGGCAUCGAUAUUGAAUAAACUUGGUCAGAUGUAUGUAGUCCAUGUGAAAAUGAGACGUGAUAAAUAACAGAUAAAUAUAUGCUAUAUGUGCUUGACAUGUGACCUUGUGGUUCCAUGAAUCAAACAUGGAAAAAUAUGACAUGUUUUGGUUGGUAUGUAUUGGAUAUGUGCAAGUUUUGUUCAUACGAAUGAAUUGAAAGUUAUCACACGAAUUUAAAAUCAUAGUCGCAAGUUAUUUGUAAAUAUAAAUAAGUGAAGCUAUUUAAUAAGGUUAUAUGAACUUAAGAGUACUAUGAAUGUAUAUGCAAUUGAGAUUAUUUUUCAAUUCGAAUUAGUGAUAUGGAAUUUUCAUAAUCAUUGAAAUGAUUUAUUUGCUUAAGGCUUACUAAGCUUUCAAAGCUUAUUCUGUGUGUUUUUCACAAGACAGAUAUGCUUUCCACCCGAGCUAAUUCUGAUAGUACAGAAUGUUAUACUCAAACGUUUGAGUGAAAAUGUGUUGGUGAUGAGUUGAAACUCAUAAAAAGGUAUGAAUCAGAAUGCAUGAUAUUCUACUAUUGAUAAAUGUUAUAAUUAUAUGAGUAUAUGAGUUGUGAUGUUGGGUAUAUGAUUGUUGUCUGAAUAUUUUGAUUUGGAAUUUAUGAUUUGAUUUAGCGCAUGAGCUAUGUGUUAAGUACCAAGUGAUCAUAAGUAAAUGAUUGCUAGAUGUUUGAGAAUGCGAAAUUAGUAAUGAACUGUUCGUUCAUAAUAGUAUGUGUGAUGUGCAUACUUACGUAAGAGUUAAAAUUGUUGGCUUUACAACCCUCACCCCCUCAUUCGUAAAGCAUUAUAAUGAGAUCCGUACUAUAUGACUUAAAUAAGCUUACAAGUGCGGAAUGACAGAGUCUCGGGAUUGAAGGAUUAGUAUUGUGAUCAGAUAAGAGAAUGAGUCCGCAAGUGAAGACAGUAACAGAAAAGAUAUUGGAUCGUGUUGAAGGCCAUUUGUAAUAUGCAAAGUCACUGUUAAAAGAAAAGUUGAAUUAGAUGAAACCAAAUAUUCAGGUAUGAUAUCUAAAGAACAUAUUAACUGGAAGUUCUUCUGAAUUGGCCUCCGUUAGUGUUGGGAUAAUGAGAAAUUAGUGAUGUCAGAGAUAGAUAGUAGAAUCAUAUUUGAAUUAUAAAGAUAUUUGAGCACAUCGAUUAUAGUCGAAUGGUUUACGAGAACUCUUCUAGGUACUCUAUGUGUUCAAUUAUCCUCAGAGGUAUGUGAAGCUGUAUAUUUUCAGAUGAAAUUCUUAACAUAUGAGAACGUUAUCUAUAUAUAUUGAUAUAUGAAAGCAUUGUUGGGCUGUUCGGGUUACAAUCAGCAUUAUUAUAUCUUUCUCUGGUAUUCUAUUUCAUUUUAUUGAAAGAAAAGAUCGACGAUUAAAUCUGUGUGAUGUUGGUAUUCUGCUCCUACUGGUUGUUGAUCUGCUUAGUAUACAUGAAGAUUAUAUUGUUUCUGUUACUGUUGAUUCCGAUGCAUAUGAGUGAUGCUUUACUUCUGGAUUUCCACUGAGACAUCAUUGAGAUAUCUGUCAUCUGAUAUGGGUGCUUUCUUUAAAAAAAGAUUAGUAUAGUGAUAUAUUUGAGAAUUACAGUAUCUCUGCUUUCUUAUGAUUCUAUAUGGUUAUCUGUGAAAAAUAUCUAUUGAAUGAUUGUAACUAUAUUUCAAUUUCUCUUAUGUUCAAAAUGCAUUAUUGAUAAUUGGGACAUUAUAUAUCUAUACGGUUGAGAUGUCAGCCUUAUUAUGGCACUAUGAUUUUAAAUUAUCUGAUGGUUGUGGCUUCAGUAUGGUUCAAAGCUUCGUUGAUUAAUAAUUGAAAAGUUAUUACUUGACAGUCGAGAUCGAUUCAGUUGUCUAGUUUGAUUAGAUUAAUUGCUUGAAGGAUUAAUCGAGUUACUUGUAUCUGAAUCUAUCCUCAGGGUGGAAAUAAAGUUUGAAUGGUCACGGAUAAAUAGAUGAAUAUUCUGAAUGCAGGAUUCAUAUUCUAGAAGAUAUGAUACAGAAUUAUAUCCAUCAGAACGAUUUUAUUGAGAAAUGUUCUUAUAGAUCGCGAUUGGGAAGUCUGAAUGAUGUGAUAAUUAUCAAUAAAGUGGUAAACAGUUGAAGAAAUUGUUAAUUGAAGUGUCAGUUCUCAGGUAAAGAGUUAUUCGACACAAGAAUUAAAGAUGGUUUGAACUGUUGAAAGAUUAUGAGUCAGCGAUUGAUUAUCAAUCUAGGCAAAUGAUUAUAGUCUUUGGGGUUCUGAACGAGAAUCUUUAUGUGUUUUACGGCCGAUAAUCAUGUGAUUAAUCUUAUCAAAUGAUGAGUAGUUAUUAGCUGAGCUAGAAACUAAAUUGAUGUUUAAUUAGCAAAUUUGUGAGGUUAAGAGGUGUGUCAGUGAAUUACAAGUUAAAAAGGGUACAACGUAAAUUGAUUUCUAAUUUAAAAUUUCAGAUUGGAAUCGAAAAUUGUUCGUUAUGUCGAGAUAGAGUUCGUGUAUUGAGAAAUCCAGAGAUUUUACAACAAUUGUGACAUCUAGCACAGUGGUAAUUAUCUAUCCGUACGGGGAGUACUAAAAGAGUGCUAGUUUUCAUUGUUCAAAUGGAGACACGAGGAUUAUAUAGUGUUACUAAAAUAAACUACUAUGAGCUUUGGGUAUGGAAUUACUUUGUAACACUGUGUUCUAGAACUUGAAAGCAACCGAGAAAGACAUUUAUUGUUUGUUAAGUUUGCAUAUAAUAAUAAUAGUUAUGAGAUGAAUGUUAAGAUAGCAUUGUAUGGGUGUGGUAUGGUUGCAAUUACUGAACUUCGUUGUAUUGAAUUGAAUUUUUAUAAAAAGAAUUUCGGGGUCGAUGUGAUUGGAAAGACUGAGGGGAAAUGAAAGUAAUUCAUGACUGUCUAAAAACAGUUUCAGAUUUGCAGAAAAUAUAUGUGGGCUUGAUGCGUAAAAGAAUUGAAUUUUCAAUUAGAAAAUUAAGUAUUUGUAAAGGUAUUAUAGUGGGAAUAGAAUUUCUAGAUUUAGCUAUAAAGAGAAGUUGAGUUCGCUGUUCAUCGGAUUGAAUGAUAUUAUAAUCAAAACUUGAGAAGACCCGUAAUGUGCUUUUUAUAUAUAUGAUGUGAUGAUACAAAUAAGAUCCUUUAUCUAUAGUAUCUCUUACAAAAGUAGAAACUCAGCUUGUUAUGAUGUAUAGUAAAGAGCAGAUCAUAAUCUUAGCUCAUGAGAUUGAAAAGUUGAGAAAUCUGAGGCUAGGUGAGAAAUUGUUGAGGUUGGUGAAAGAAAAUCAGUAAUUUAUUCUCUGGCAAGAUUUUCGGGGACGAAAAUCCUUAAGGGGGGAGAGUUGUAACAGCCCGUUUUUAGGGUUGAUCGGAACAGUGGUUUCGGGGCCACCAAAUCUGAACGAGUAGGUUGGUAAAUAUUAUAUUUAAUAUUUACGAGUUAAUUGUGAUUUUAAAAAUAUUUUUGAUAUUGUGAUUUUUGUUUUAUAAGCGAUUUAUUAAGUUCAAGUGGUAUGACUCUAAGGUCAAGUGGGUUUAGAAAAUGAGGUAUCGGGACCUUGUUUCUAUAAACUGAGUCGUAAAUAUUUUUAUAAAUAUUUACGUAGUGGUAAUAAGAUGGUAUUAAAGUUUCGUUGAAAAAUUUUAUCGUUUCGAUAGUUAAUUAUGCAAAAAGGACUAAAUUGUGUAAAGUGCAAAAGUUGUGUUCUAUAACCUAAAGGUAUUAAAUAGAUAUAGAACUUAAAAGUAGAAGUCUUUAUUUGGUAAUUAGCCCAUUAAAGAGAUAGUGGGAUAUGAUGGCUUGGCAUUUGGUGUAAUAAAUAAAGUGUAUAAAGGUUAAUAUUGUAAAUUGGUUAAAAAUAAUAAUAACAUAAAUAUAAUAAAAGAAUCAAGGAGUCAUCUUUUUCAUUCUCUUUUACUAGCCGAAUAUGAAGGCUUGAGAAGCCAUAGAAGAAGCUUCCAACUUUCAGCUAAUGCAUGAUCAAGAUCGGGUGGAAAAUCGAGAAAAAUAAGAAAAUUACCAAAAUGCCCCUAAACUUUGGUAUCUCUACAAUUUAGCCAGGUAAGUUCAUAUGCAAUAAGCAUUGUUAAAUUUAUGUUUCUAAUGCUUUAAUAUCGUAUAAAUUGUAUAUACAUGAAUAUUUUAAUGUCUGACGACAUAUCGACAAAAUGUGGCACUUAGUGUGCGGGGCAAUCAAAUAUGGUACUCAGUGUACGAAAUAUUGAGAAUGGCACUUAGUGUGCGAGAUAUUGAGAAUGACACUUAGUGUGCAAAAUAUCGAAUGAUUCAAAGGGAAAUUAUAAAUUGUGAUUGAAUGAUUAAAUAGAGCAAAGUAAACAGGUAUACAUGCUAUAUUAUAUGAAUUGUUUAUGAAACCUUGUGUUAAAUCGGCAAUUGAAUUUGUUCAAUACAUUAAGUUGGCCAGGUAUGUGAUAUAUACUUAUGCAUGUUAGAUUGAUUGGAAUUGAAUCAUGAAUGUGAAAUGAGAAGCAUAGGUGAAAAUGCCUAUGUCAUAUAUGUGAGUAAGGGCAAAACAAUCGUAAAUUAUCGAUAAGGGUGGACUAUGUGCGGAAUCAUCUUAUAAUUGCUAAUUUGAACGGUUGUGUGCAAAUCAUUGAGCAUGAUGUAUUGUAUUGAGAUUAUGCUUAAGUGAAAUUAUAGAUAUGUGAUGAAAUUGAUUGGUGAUAUACAUGUUUAAAUAAUGUGAAUGCAAAGAAUGUGUGAAAGAGUAAAUUUGUAAUAAAUCUGCUUGGGACAGCAGCAGUAAUGUGAUUUUUGAAAAUCACCAUAAAAUUUUGGAGUUGAGUUAGAAGCUUAAUAAAUUAUGUAAUUAAAGCUUAAUGAGUCUAGUUUCUUCUAAAAGAAACCGUGUAAGCAAAAGAAUUUCUGAUAAUGAGAUAUUUGAAGUUGCGUGGGAUAGAGUCAAAUGACUUCGGGGUCCCCUGUUCUGUUUUUAGAAAAUCAUUAUAAUUUUAACAAAAAUGAUUAUAAGAUAAAAUUUAUAUGCUUAGAGUCCUUAAUGAGUCUAGUUUCAAAUUAAAUCAAAGAAAACAUAUUUUUAAUUUUGUACAAUGAGAAAUUUGAUUCGUAGUGAAGAGUGGUCAGAUUAGUCAAACAGUGGAAUAGGGGAAACUUUAAGAAAAAUAUGGUAUCGAUUGGCCAAACCAAAAAUUCUGAAAAUUUUAUGGAUGGAAGAUAUAUGAGUCUAUUUUUAGGGAAAAUUAACAGAAAUUGAUUUGGAGUUUUGUAGCUCCAGUUAUAAAUAAUUUAGUGACUAUUGCCCAGGAAGACAACUUGUAGUGAAUUUGUGAUUAUGUUGUAAACAUUGAUAAAACUUGUUAAUGAGUUGCUUAUUGUUUUCUUAUGAACUUACUAAGCGUAAAGCUUACUCCCCUUUUCUUUCCCAUAUUCCCUAGGGUUGCCAGGUUAGCUCGGGUUGGAGGCUGUCAAAGAUAUUAUCACAUUGUCAAGUCUACGCUAUCGGCGUAAGUAAUCUUAGUGUUUCGAGUCUAUGGCAUGUAUAGGGUUGUAAAGUUGAGUAAGUAAAUGAUACAAGACUAAGAUAUUGGUAAAUAUUUAAUAAUGCCUCAUGAAUAUUUUGGGCCUUGUAAGCCAGAUUAAAGGAUAAUAUACGUGUGUAUGAAAAUUUUAAAAUUGAUCAAAAAUUUUUACGGUCUAUUUUUAUAUAAAUGGAUGAGUUUAAAUCUGGUAGCACCUCGAACCCUGUUCCGGCGAGGGAUACGGGUGAAGGGUGUUACAGAAACGAGAUCUACAAUCUUCAACCUACUCCACUACAGCUUUAGGGAGCUAGGAUGAUGGUUUAAAUCUGCUUUACUGCAACUUCAGAAAGACCAGAUUCGCCGUCUUCGAUCUGCUCCACUACAACUUCAGGGAAACAAGAUCAACAAUCUUCAGCCUACUCCACUACAACUUUAGGAAGCUAGGAUGGUGGCUUAAAUCUGCUUCACUGCAACUUCAGAAAGGCUAGAUUCGCCGUCUUUGAUCUACUCCGCUGUAACUUUAGGGAGACAGGAUCUGUAGAAUCGGUUUCAUAGGCCUAUGCGUAUGUCAAAUAAUUAGGAUGCUAUGAUCGAAAUGAAUCAAGUGUUCCUAACUAGAUGUGGUGUUUAUGUCAAAUAAUUAGAAUGCUAUGAUCGAAAUGAAUCAAGUGCUUCUAACUAAAUGAAUGAUUAUGAAUGUAGAAAUGUUAUGAGAGUAAUUCCUUUUUAAACGCUUAAGGUAUCAUUACUCAUAGUUCAUCAGGGUUCUAUCAUUGAUGCGCUAUUGCGUCUUCUUGCUUAGCCGUUAUCUUUGACAGAAAAUUUGAAGAAAUAGUCACAAUUUGGACUAUUAUUUUUCCAAUAUUUCCUACUUUUGAGUCUGGUUAGUUCUGACUAGUGGCCCUGUUUUAGGUCCUUGUACUAUUUAGAAACCUUCCAGAGUAAUAUGCAUAACUCCUUUUGUGUGAGUGUUAUAAGUCCAAAAAUCGUGAUUUCAACAAAAAUGCUCGAAAGAGAUUAUCAUAAUAGACAAGAUGGAAUUUUAUUGAGUGAAACUCGAAGUGAAUACAUUAAACAGGAUAGCAAAUCUGUUAAGGCACAAACAUGAAAAAAGGUGCCCCAGAUAUCGCAGCACGAGCUUCACUAUUCCAAUUUCUCAAAGGCUCAUUCGAACUAAAUGUGUGUUCGGGAGAUCCUGUGUAUUUUGUUGAUGCUCCAAGAUGUACUGCUUUUCCCUCUUAUUAAUUUUGGGAGGACAAGACUACCAUAUGCCCCAUAUUCAAAAUUUGAGCUGCCUGUUUUCGGGUUUUUAACUCAAAAUCCCUUUUGGUUUCAAAAUGCCCUUUGCGGGUUUUCACAUUGGCCUCUCUAUUUUUUUUAGGUCUUAAAGCGCCCUUUGCGGGUUUUCACCUUGGCCUUUCCCUUUUUUAGGUAAAAUACUUUUUGACGAAAUCUAAAUUUAUAGGAUUGGGCAAGUUUUUACCAUCCAUCUCGGCUAGAAUUAAUACUCCUUCGGAUAAAGCUUUCUUCACCAUGUAAGGCCUCUCCCAAUUAGGCAUCCAUUUUCCUCUAAAUUCCUUCUGUAUGGGAAGGAUCUUUUUCAAGACCAGAUCCCCCUCAUGAAACUCUCUUGGGCAGACCUUCUUGUCAUAAGCCCGCAUCAUUCAUUUUUGGUACAUCUGACUAUGACGGAUAGCUUUUAUUCUCUUUUUCUUAAUCAAGUUCAAUUGAUCGUAUCGAGAAUGGAUCUAUUCUGCUUCAUCUAACUUUAACUCCGACAAUACUCGAAGGGAUGGGAUCUCCACUUCGAUUGGCAAAACCGCUUCCAUUCCGUAGACCAAAAAGAAAGGCGUUGCCUCAGUUGAGGUUCUGACUAAUGUUCGAUAAGCAAAGAGGGCAAAUGGUAACUUCUCAUGCCAAUCUUUGUAGGUCUCAGUCAUCUUCUCCACGAUCUUCUUGAUGUUUUUAUUGGCCGCUUCCACUGCCCCAUUCAUUUUCGGGCGAUAUGGUGACGAGUUGUGGUGUCUGAUCUUGAAUUGACUGUAGACUUCCGCUAUCGUACUAUUGUUCAAGUUCAAUGCAUUGUCAGAUAUGAUCCUCUCCGGCAUUCCAUAUCGACAUAUGAUCUCCUUUUUCAGAAAUUUGCUCACUGCCGACUUUGUAACAUUGGCAUAUAAAGCGGCUUCUACCCAUUUGGUGAAGUAGUCGAUAACCACAAAGAUGAACCGAUGCCUAUUGGAAGUUUUCAGUGAUAUUGGUCCAAUCACAUCCAUGCCCCACAUAGAGAAAGGCCAUGGGGAAGCCAUGACAUGGAGCGGCGAAGGGGGUACGUGAAUUUUGUCUCCAUAGAUUUGGCAUUUAUGACAUCUCUUGGCGUAAUUGACACAAUCUCCUUAUAUAGUGGACCAAUAAUACCCGAAUCUCAUAAUUUGUCUGGCCAUUGUAAAGUCAUUAGCGUGUGUCCCACAGACGCCCUCAUGGACUUCUUCCAAGAUUUUCUUAGCCUCUACAGUGUCUACGCAUUUUAAUAGCACUUGAUCUUUUCUUCUUUUGCAUAAGAUCUCCCUAUCUAAGACAUAGUCAAUGGCCAAUCUUCUCAGUGUCCUUUUGUCAUUCUCGCUUGUCUAGUCCGGGUACUCACGAUUCUUCACAUAUUGCAAUAUAUCGUGAUACCAAGGGUGGUCGUCAUUUUCUUCAUCUUCUUCGAUAUUAUAACAGUGGGCCGGAGUUUCAUAAAUGCUCAUCCGGAUGGGUUUGACAUCUUCCUGUUUGUUCACCUUGAUCAUGGAAGAUAAGGUAGCUAAACCAUCGGCCUUUUCAUCCCGUGGAAGGUAGCGGAAGGUAAUGUCAUCGAACUCUUUAACCAAUUCAAGGACCAGUUUCCGGUAAUCGAUCAACUUGGGAUCUCUGGUCUCUCAUUCUCCUUUGAGUUGAUAAAUUACUGACGUAGAAUCUCCAUACACCUUUAGCACUUUAAUCUUGCAUUUUAUGGCUGCACGGAUACCUAUGAUGCACGUUUCGUAUUCUGCCAUGUUAUUCGUGCAAUCAAAAUCCAAUUUACUAGUGAAUGGAUAAUGAUUUCCGUUUGGGGAUACCAAGAUUGCCCCGAUUCCAUUACCAACGGCAUUUGAUGCCCCAUCGAGUUUAGUUUUCAAAGAAAUUCUUCCGGAGCACCUUCUUCAAUGGUCGCAACACACAUCAGGUCUUCAUUUGGGAAAUCGAAGUUCAAAGGCUCGUAAUGUUCCAAAGCUCUACUGGCCAGAAAAUCUGCUAUUGCACUCCCUUUCACUGCUUUCUGGUUCACAUAAAUUAUGUCGAAUUCAGAGAGCAGAAUCUGCUAUCGGGCAAUCUUUCCAUUCAAAGCUGUCGACUCCAUCAUGUACUUCAAAGGGUUCAGUUUUGAGAUGAGCCAAGUAGUGUGAUACAAGAUAUACUGUCUUAACCUCCAGGUUGUCCAAACCAGGGCACAACAUAACUUUUCUAUCGGUGGAUAUCUUGUCUCACAUUUAAUGAAUUUUUUACUAAGGUAGUAAAUGGAUUUUUCUUUCCUUCCUGAUUCAUCAUGCUGACCCAAUACGCAUCCCAUGGAAUUCUCAAAUACUGCCAAAUACAAUAUCAACGGCCUAUCGGGGUUAGGUGGCAUCAGCACCGGAGCGUUGGAUAAGUACUGUUUGACCUUGUCGAAAGCCCUUUGGCAUUCUUUAUCCCAUUCACCUGGGUUGUGUUUCUUGAGGAGGCGAAAAAUGGGGUCACAUUUCUCGGUUAGUUGUGAAAUAAACCGAGCGAUGUAAUUUAAUCUUCCUAGAAAGCCUCGAACCUCUUUCUAGGUACGCGGCGAAGAUAGCUCUUGUAUGGCUUUGACUUUGUCUGGAUCGAUCUCAAUCCCUUUUUCACUAACCACGAAUCCGAGAAGCUUUCCAGACUUGGCUCCGAAGGUACAUUUGGCUGGAUUGAGUUUUAGCUGGAACUUCCUCAACCUUAAGAAUAACUUCCUCAGGACUUGUACGUGCUCUUUCUCAGUUCGGGACAUUGCGAUCACAUCAUCGACAUAAACUUCAAUUUCUUUGUGCAUCAUGUCGUGAAACAGGGUUACCAUGGCCCUUUGAUAUGUUGCCCCCGUAUUCUUUAGUCUAAAUGGCAUUACCUUGUAGCAGAAUGUCCCCCACAUGGUUACAAAUGUGGUCUUCUCCAUGUCUUGAGGAUGCAUCUUGAUCUGGUUAUACCCAGAGAAACUGUCCAUGAAUGAAAACAGUGAAUGGCCUGCCGUGUUGUCCACUAGGGUGUCAAUAUGAGGCAGUGGGAAAUUAUCUUUCGGACUGGCUUUGUUCAAAUCUCUAUAGUCUACACACAUUUGUACUUUUCCAUCCUUCUUCGGGACGGGACGAUGUUGGCUACCCAUUCGGAGUACUUUAUCACCUUUAAAAAUCCAGCGUCAAACUGCUUUCUAACCUCUUCUUUUAUUUUUAGCAAGACGUCGGACCUCAUACUUCAGGGUUUUUGCUGAACUGGUUUACACUCUUCCUUUAUAGGGAGUCAGUGCACCACAAUAUCAGUGUUCAACCCGAGCAUAUCUUGGUAUGACCAUGCAAAAACAUCUUUGAAUUCUCGAAGUAAUUCGAUAAGAUCUCGCUUCAUCUCCAUGGUGAUACAAGUUCCGAUCUUCACCUCUUGCCCCUCUCCUAAGCUCAUAAUUUCUACUGUUUCUUUGUGAGGUAGGAUUUGUUUCUCGUCUUGUUCUACCAUCCUCAACAAAUCAGGAGAUAGGUUACAGCCUUAGUCAUCUUCGAAAUCCUGAGAAUCCUCCAUACACAUAUCUCGCUCAAAAGGAGACUCUGAGCCACUAGCAGUGUCACUGAUAUCAUUGAUAUCUGGGGACCUGUUAUGAGGAUGAAGGAAGAUACUUAUUUGUAUGGUAUGAUUAUUUGUAUGGUAUCAUUCAUAAUCUACUUUCAUUCUUCAUUAAUAUCAUUCAUAAUCUACUUUCAUUCUUCAUUGAUAUCAUUCAUAAUCAUUGAGCCACUAGCAGUGUCACUCAUAUCAUUGAACACUUAUUUGUAUUGUAUGAUUAUGAAUGAAGAAUGAAAGAAUAUUUAGAAGAGUGUUCGAAGAACAAAAGAAUCCAAAAGUAAUAUAAUUAUGAAUGAAAUUGAAAGAAUGAGAGAAUAUCUACCCAAAAUGGUAAUAACUGUACAUUUCAUUGAAAUAACGUUUUUAAACAUAAGCCUAUUUCACAAAAGAUUCUUAUUACUCCUAGGCCUAGAGCAAUAAGUGUGUUUUGGAUAUUACUCUGAGUCAGUUCUAAAAACUACAGGAAUCUCUUCCGCAGUCUAGUUAUCCAAAACACUUCCAGGUAUGUAGGGGCAAAUGCCCGAAAAAUUUUCCUCUCCAGUCUCUUCUUCGUAUGUGGCGUUGAUGUUCAAGCUUUCCAACCUUUCUUCUAUGGCUUCUUUUCUUGGCGUGCUUCUUUCGGGAUGAACGAUUCCUCUGGACACAAAAUUUUUCGAUAUGUGGGGAAAUAUCAUUGGCUCCCAUUUGAUUUCCUCCCCCUUCAACCUUACUCUCCUUCUUUCUUGCUUCUUUUUCAGCUCUUUUCUCCUUUGUCUUGCAUCUGGCUUAAAUUCUAAGCCGAAACGAUCUCUCUUGUCCUUCAAUACCGGCGUUUCAAUCCUUCCUUGGAGAUGUCUCUCGAGCUCUCUUCCGGGUAGGGCCCCUUUUCCAACCAUCAACUAUAGACUCAUCCUUGUAGUUUUGGACAAUUUUGGCAUCAAAAUCUUUCUUCCAUUGGCGAUGAAUGUCACGUUAACAAAUUCCAAAGACCGAAAUGAGCAUUCGAUUGCUUUGUCAUCUGUCUCCAAAUAGGGCGCAUUACUGCUUACAGUUGCACUGAUGUCCUCUUCAGCAUUGAUCGUUAUCAACCGCCCCUCUGAUACCAGCUUCAAAUUUUGAUGCAAUGAUGAAGGCACUGCCCCAGCUGAAUGUAUCCAAGGCCUCCCCAAUAAGAAAUUGUAUGAGGGCUUGAUAUCCAUCACUAGGAAAUCCACCUCAUAUGUGUUUGGCCCGAUCUGAAGAGGUACCUCGAUUCUGCCGAUCACCCUUCUCUCCGUACCAUCGAAUGCUUUCACUAUGUUCUGGCACUCCUUCAUGUGAGAGCUGUUUAUAGGUAAUUUGUUUAGCGUAGUUAAUGGCAGGACGUUCAAGGCCGACCCAUUGUCAAUCAGUACGCCUGGCAGCGUAUACCCCUUACAGCGCGUGGUAAUGUACAAAGCUUUAGUCGACCCCAUGCCACUGGGUGGUAUCUCGUUGUCAUUGAAGAAGAUAUAGCUUUCGGCACUUAUGUUGCUAACCAAACGGUCCAGCUUGUUGACAGAGAUAUCAUUGGCAACAUAUGUUUCAUUCAGGACCUUCAUCAGCACGCUGCGGUGGACUUCUGAACUCAGGAGUAAGGCCAGCACCGAGAUAAGAGCUGGUUAUUUACGUAGCUAUUCCACCACGCUGUACUCGCUGUGUUUUAGGAAUUUCAAAAACUCCUUAGCCUCCUCCUCGUUAACUGGCUCAUUAAUAGGAAGUUCAUAUAUGGUCGCUUUUUCUUUCAUCUCUUCGACCACUAGGGCUUUUCCUUUUACAGGUUGUGCCUUUUCACUUGAUGUAUCGUAGCGUCUCCCGCUACGUGUAUAGGAGCCCCUAUCUUGUUCCUCUUUUGAAGUAUCAGCCAAGCUUUGCUUUCCCAGAAUCGUUAUGUUACAAUCAUAAUUCCAUGGGACCCUUUUGCUGUCUUUAUAGGGGAAGACUGUAGGUCUUUGGAGUAUGACCCUCGGUGGCAUUUGCACUCUAGCUUCAUUAUUUUUAGGUCGCGAUAUGAUGACCACAGGGUAGUUAACUGUUCGGAUUCUCCCUCCGAUGCACAUAUAUCUCCCUCUCCGGGGUUUUUUGCUUCUUCAUAAAACUCCAUUUCUUUGUUGUUCAUCAUGCUCUGUACUAGGGCCUUGAACUCCACACACUCUUGGAUUUUAUGUCCCACCUCGUUUUGAAACUCAUAGUAGUUCCUCCCUUCUUCAUACUUUUCUCUCGAAUCCAACGCGAUCAAUCCUCUCUUGACCAUCUCCUUCCACACCCAUCUCAAUGGGGUCCUGACUUUUGCAACCUCACUUUUGAUCCUCUUGUUCUUGCCUUCACUUAUCUCGUUCACUCCUUGGUCGGCAUGAUUGGGGAGCAUAUUUCCUGCUACAUUGGGUACAGCUGGGUCGUCAAACCUCACGAUCCCCAUUUUAAUGAGUCUCUCGACUACUUUCUUGAACGCGGUGUAGUUUUCGAUUGAGUGCCCGGUAAUUCCCACGUGGUAUUCACAUUGGGCGUUUGUGUCAUACCAUUUGGGAUACGGGGGCUGUAGUGACUUCAGGUAAAAAGGCGACACUACAUGAGCGUUGAACAGAUUCUGGUACGGCUCCCUAUACGUCAUGGGUAUAGGGGAGAACUAUGGCCUCUCUGUGUUCUCCCUCGCGUUGGAUUCUUGUCUCACAGUGCUAUGUUGAUUGGUGGCUACCGUCUUUGGUUGAUUUACGGUGAGUGACUUGGACUAACCUUUACCGAAUGUGCUCGUGUUAUUCAUUUCAUUAUCUCUUUUCCUUAGGGCUGACUUUUUGUUACUUUCUCUUGCUUCUAUCUUAUCGCUCCUCACAGCAUUUUCAAUCAUUUCACCGGUCAUUACUAUGUCUGAGACGCUUUUGGUGGCGUUUCCCAACAUAUGGGUGAUAAAAGGGGCCUUCAAGGUGUUGAUAAAGAGCAUCGUGGUUUCUUUUUCUAGAAGCAGCGGAUGAACUUGUAUGGCCACUUCUCUCCAUCUUUGUGCGUACUGUCUGAAACUUUCAUUCGAUUUCUUCUCCAUAUUCUGGAGAGUGAUCCUGUCGGGGGUCAUGUCCGUCAUAUGAUUAUAUUGUUUCAUAAAGGCCUAAGCCAGGUAUUUCCAUGAAUUAAUUUUAGCUCGGCUCAAUUGGUUAUACCACUUAGAUGCCGCCCCAACCAGACUGUCCUGAAAACAGUGAAUUAAUAGUUGGUCAUUGUUGACAUAUCCCGUCAUUCGCCUGCAAAAUAUCGUGAUGUGAGCUUCAGGGCAGCUCGUUCCAUUGUAUUUCUCAAAUUCAGUCAUUUUGAAUUUGGGGGGAGGGGAAGGACCAAGUCUGGGACCAAACUCAGGUCCUUAGCAUCAAUCCCUUGAUGAUUAUCUGCGUAUUCCAUAGCUCUGAAUUUCUCCUCCAGCCAUUUACAACGUUUUUCUAAUUGUUUUUGCGAUUCUACCCUUGCCUUUUCUUCUUCUGCAACUUCGUCCAAAUCGGGAAUAGGCGGAUAACUCGAGUUAUUAACAAGGUUAGAGCCUGAACCGGCUUGGAAAUUCAUUGGUAUCGAAGCUCCAGCCUGAAUCUACUGAGGCAUGAUCGUAACAGAUGGUUUUUGUAGAUUAAUCUUGGGCUUCAUCGGUACAUGUGUCAGUGUGAAGCCAGGGGAUUGAGGAUCUUCAUUAGUUUCCUCAACAUUGUCCAUGGGGCCCUUUCCCUUAUCCGUUCUUCCCAUCAGCAAUUGGGAUAACUGACUCAUCAUUUCUCUUUGGGAUUCCAUCAUUUGCUCCUUCAUCUCUCGCUGAAUUUUGGUUAGCUGCUCUUGCAUCUGAGACUGCAUUUGUUCCUGCAUGUCCUUUUGCAUUUGCUCCAAUUUCUCAAGUCUUUUAUCCAUUGACUUUUUCCUUGUACCGUAGGGGUGCAUAGUUGGUUGGUUUUCGUUGGUUUCCAGGUUACUGUAAUGAUUUUUAAUUAAUUAGAAACCUUUUAUGACCUUUAAUGCAUAAUGAUGUGAUGUAAUGCAAAUGCAUGAAUGCAAAUGAGGCAUCAAUUUUAAUUCAAUUCCCUUUAGAAAACUUCACUAGAAAAUAAAAUUCUUUUACAUAAAGUUGAGUUACAAAUAAAAUUUUGCUCUAAUGCUUAAAGUCUUAAUUUUCCUAAGCAACGAAACCAGCUCUUUUCCGUGAUCUGACCCCAACCCGUACUUCAUGCUCAGUGUGUCCGCCUGUACCGCUAAAGCUUGCAAGUAGUCAGCUACCUCCCGGAUCUGGGUUAUAGCUUCCCCCAUAAGGUAAUCCCUGUUUCUGACUUGGUCUUGCGCAUGGUGAAGCUGCUCUUUCUAACGGUCCUCAUUUGUCUCGAAAAACUGAAUCCGCAUCUUAUAAUUUUGCAGUGACGCCUCUAAUUCUUCUAUAUUUCCUUUCAUUUCUUCUAUCUUGCUCAAGCUUGCUCUCAAUUCCAUUGCGAUGUUGCGGUUUCGGUACUGAUGAAGAGACUUCUUGAGUUCUGCCACUCUAGCCUUUAAUUCACCUCGCUCAUUUCUGUUUUCUGAUAGACUCUUCUCUAAAUCUUCAUUUCGUGCCUGAGCUUUUUAGAAAUUCCUUUCCCAUCGGUCUGCUUUGGUUUUUUCUUCUCGAAUUUCAUGGCGCCAUUUUUCGGAAGUUUUACCUAACCUCGCAGUCCUCAUAGACAGGCGUAGCUUCUUAUAAUCAGUCUUCAAGCUGUCUAGAUCUUCUUCGGCCUUAGUUUUCCUUUUUCUCCACUUCUCAGCCUCUGACCUCUGUACAUCAGUGACUAAUCUCAAGUGCAUCUUCUCUUCCUCCAAUUGUUCGAUCUUUUUCCCAAGCUCUAAACUCUUCUUCUCGAAAUCUUACUUUAUAAUUUCCAACUCUAACGGGGCAACUUGUAAUUGUUCCACCUUAGGUCAAGUAUUUUCCAAGCUUGGCCUAGGAACAUUAUCAUUAACCCUCUUCUUGAACCAUCCAUCAUACUCGGGUGUCACCAUGAAAUCGACAGCCAACCUCUUUAUCCAACGAGUUUGCUUCCAAGCAUCCGAUAGCUCCCAAACUUUCUUCUUAUAGUGAGCACCUUUAAAGAAGAAUUCACACUGAGCAAGUUCGUAGGUCGUGGGUACAAACUACCUCGAUUUAUAUUGCCUUAACGCAAGUAAUGGAGUAUACCCAGUAGCUCCCCAAAUUCCUAACAACGGUACCCAAUCAAAGUCCCCACAUCAAUACAUGUUCUCAUCAGGAACCAUCCAAUAAGCUCUCCAUUCUAUAUCCCCCUCAUUGAGGUUUUGGAUGAUUUCCAUCCACUUCUCCUCUAGGAUAUCCUCUCUCCUUUGUAUGGCCGCCUCCUCUUUUAACGGGGAAUAACCUUCGGAAAAGACCUGAUAAGAAACCUUGUCUACCUUCCAAGAGUGCCCAUGAAACUACACCAUCAACAGUUGUGCACAUCCAAUAAACCGCCCCUCAGCUGUCUUCCGACACGUGCUCAAGGACCUAAACGUCUCAGCCAAUAUUGCCGGUACAGGUGUGAUUCCCUUCUCAAGGCGAUCGAAUAAGUUAAUGACUGCCUCGUCCACGUGCCUCAAAUCCUUAGGAAAAAUUACAAAUCCGUAGAUGCUUAAGGUGAAUAUAUCGACCCUCUUUCUUUCAUCUAGAUGCGUCAAAAUCAAAUCUUACAAAUUCUCCCAAGGGAUACAUUUACUAUCUCCUUUUUGUUGAAUCCGAGCAGUGACCCAAGUCUCGCUCAUUUCUGAAAUGUUCAUCAGUUUUUUCACGAAAGUCUGACCAUUAAAAACCCUGGCAUAAGUCUUUCUAACUUGAAUUUUCGGACAGCUGAGCAAGGUAGUGUAUUCCUCCAUGGUAGGUACUAAAUCCACUUCUCCAAAAGUGAAACACUUGUAAGCAGAACUCCAAAACUGAACCAUAACUCGGAAUAGAUGCUUAUCCACUCUAAUGUCUAGCAAGUAGGAUAUAUCACCAUAGCUUUGAUAAAACAACUGUUUGGUCGCUUCAUCCCAAUGAGCCCAUAUAUCUCUCAACUCUUGCAACUCAUUCUGUGCUACAUUAACGCGAGUGAAUUCUUGCAAUUCUGAUAUAUACCCUUCUACCAAGCUAUCCUCUUUCUCCGAUUGUAACUUCUCUAACCAUGUGCGGACGACGACAUUAUCCUCGACUUUACUAAGAAAUUCAUUCUCCAUGUCAAACUUUCUAACUUAGUAAUUGAAUACGAAUCAACACCUCAUUUAGUAUGCAAUGUCAUGCAAAACACAAUCAAAACAAAACACAGGUUAGUAUCAAAUAAUAGUGAUGAAAUGCAAGCACAUAAAUGAUAAUUACAACAUGUAUACGGGUAAAUACUAAGGCUUGAUGCGGCUCUACCCAAGGAUAGCUCUUAAGGUUCACUAUAUGUGGUUCGGUUCUAGAGAUAAGGUACCCGAACUAGCAGAGUCCUUAAUCUUCACCCAUUAUAGGCUCAUAUAGAUCGAGUUCGGUUUAGGGGGAUACAUUUCCCUAUGACCAUGUGGAGAUGAAAAUCUCACGAAAUCAUAGGUACGGAUGUACCCCGGAAGCAAUCCACUAGCCCAUGCGGAGGUGAAAACCUCACGAAAGCAUAGUCUCUUACUCCCACUUAGAAGGUGUGACCACAGCGGUCAUGCAAUGAAAAUGCAAUAUUAUACUACAAGACCCGAAUCAUGGCAAUCAUACAAACAAAUGCAAUUAUGAUUUUCAAAACAAAUUUUCAAUAUUUCGACAAAAGGACAACAAAUAAUCGAUUUCAUGGCUAGACUCUUUUAUCAAAUCCCUAGCGGAGUCGCCAAGCUGCCGAAAUCAUUUUUUUAAAAAUAAUGUUAAAUUUAAUGAAAAAAACGAGAAUCGACUUUUUGAAAAACGAAAAUGGAGUCGCCACUGAUCUUUUUGUUUUGGUGUGAUCGGAUCACCUAAGAAUUUGGUUAUUUUAAUAAAACAUUUUUGGUUUACUAAAACAACGAUUUUGGUCUACGAACUUUUAAGAAAACGGGUUCGGGAGUCGGUUAUGCAUGAGGAAGGAUUAGCACCCUCACUACGCCCAAAAUUGGUACCAAAUCGAUUAAAUAUUGUCCUUAUGUCUAAGAUUUAAAAAUGUUUUUGAAAUGGGAUUCCCUUUUGAUAACGUUUGAAUAACCUGGGUUGGUCAUCAAAAUUCUCUUGCUUAAAAGGAAUACAGCACCACAUCCAGCACGAUACGACAUGAUCCUUUAUGCCCUCGAAAACAUGAUAAAUUUUGACUUCCAAAAAUUUAUACGUUGAAAACCGCAAAAGGAUGCCCAAUUAUUUAGUCCAACGAGAAAAUCGAAACCCAGCAUAGUAGGGCACGACUCCUCGAAUUUCUAGAUAUCAGACAUUGCCUUAUUUUAGAAUUUAGAGAGUAUGAGUGAAAUUCUAAAGGAAUCUUCGAUCAUUUUGGACAAACGAGAAAUUGCAACCCAGCACGAUAGGGCACGAUUCCGUGAAUUGCCAAAUAUCGAACAUCGCCUUCGUUUAAAGAAUUUUUAAAAGACAUGAGUGAAAUUCUAAAGGGACCUUCGAUUAUUUUGAACAAACGAGAAAUUGCAACCUAACACGAUAGGGCACGAUCUCGCGAAUUGCCAAAUAUCGAACAUCGCAUUUGCUUAAAGAAUUUUUAAAUGAAUAAUUAUAAAACUAGCUUAAAACGCAAUAAUUCGACUUGAAAUAAAACGGAAUUAAUUUUAAAGAUUUGGACCUUAUAAAACCAAAUUUCGUAAACCAAGUGGAAAACCAUGAUAUGGGAUAAUACACACAUACGAUACAAUGCCAAUUAACAAACUAAUAAUCAAGCAAGGCUAAUCUAAGACGAAUGUAAUCGAACUUCUAAACAUGGAUGGAGCAAUUGAUAUAACAAUAAAAUGAAUAAAUAAUAUACAACGAUAAUAUACAUAGAAUAAUAAAAAGCUAUCAAUGCAAGAUGUAUAGAACAAAGUAACAAUUUGAAGUUAAUGUGAUAUAAGACAUUUCUUAAAACAAUGACGAAUAAAUGAACACAUAAUAUAUAAUGUUGACAAAUUUGCAUAAAAACUAAGGAUAUAUAAUUUUUGAAAUAGAUAUCAUAGAAUAAAAGUUUGAAUCAAAUUGCAUGAAAAAUAUUCUAAACACAAAUUCAUUUAAAAGUUGACAAAGUACAUGAUAAUUUGAAUAAUAUAUAUAAUACGAAAGAAAAAUAAAGGUACAUAACAAUACAUAAUACACAAAAUAGAUUUAUAAAACAUAUGUACAUGUAAAUUUAUUGUAAAAGAUCAUGAGAUUAAUAAUAAUAUAUAUAAAAAUUUUAAGUCAGUGUAGAAAUUAUAUACAUACCCUUAUAUCAAAAACAUUUAAAUAAGAGGCUAUAAAAAACACAAAAGUAAUAUAAUAUAAAGAAACAUUCAAAAAUAAUAAUUUUAUAAUUUCAAAGAUGAAGUUUUUAAAAUAGUUUCAUAUAUACAUAAAGAAAAUACUUGAUAAAUCAUAAAGCAAAAAGUGUUUUAAAUAAAAAAUCUAUUAAAGUAAUAAGUGUAUUAAUAUGUAUACAUAUAAAUUUAAAAGCAAGUACAUGUAAAAUAACAUAGAAAUGAUAACCUGUAUAGGACUAAAUUAAUUUUAUUAUAAAUUACACAAUAGAUUAAAUACGGAUAGAUUAAAUAUAUAAAGAAAAAAUAUAUGUAUAAAAUACACGAGUUUAAUAACGUAUAGAUUAAAUACGGAUAUCCAUAAAUGUAUAUACAUAUAUGAUAAUAGCUUAAAAAAUAUAUAUUAUGUAGGAUUAUAUAAUAAAAUACAAGAAUAAAUUUAAAAGAAAUCAUGUGCGUAAAAUGAUAUAAGGUUAAUAAUAUAUAUAUAAAAUAAAAUUAACUUUAAUACAAAGUAUAUGUAUAUAUAUAUUAAUAUUUAAACAAGAGGUUAUAUAAGAGUAUUAAAAUAGCUUAAUGCAAAAAGAAUUUUAAAAUGAUAAUUUUAUUAAGCAAAAUAAAGUUGUGCACAUACAAAUAUAUAUAUAGCAAUAAAUAAUAUUGUACAGAAUAUUAAAAUGAAUCAACACAUGUUCAAACAUUAAACAUAUUGUAAAAUAAUAGGCUAUACUAAUAGGAGAUUAAAUUAAAAUUUAAUUAAAAUAAGAGGGGUAAUUUGAAAAUAAAGCAGUAACAAUAAAAGGACACGCGCAAAUGUGUAGGGACUCAAACUGGAAAUAAUCCAGCCCUCAAAACGCAGUGAUCAGCUGCGGAUCCAUUUGCAAAAGAGUGUGAAUUACAGGGAUAAUUUAAAAAAAAACAAAAGAAGCACAGAUAUGAGCUGAUUUGAACACGGCGCGAAAAGGGAGGGACUCAUAUAUCAAAUAACCCAUCUGAAGCACAAAGGCGCGGGUUCGGGUCCUGGAACGGGUCGACGCGCGGAUCCCUUUCCCCCCAGAACGGUGCCGUUUCGUUAUAUGCUUAAAAAUUGAAGAAAAUGAAUGGCCUUUUGCCAUUUUUUGAGCCAUAAACCAAAGACCCAAGCAUUAGGGUUACAGCACAGCAGAUUUUAAUGCUUUCCCAUCCCCUUUCCAUUCGGCCGAAUUAGGAGACCUUUAGACUGCCGUUUGGCCUCUAUGUCUAGCCGACGGUCAUCACUUGAAGGCCCAAUCUAGCUCCGUCCAACCGUGGAUCCAAGGUUUUUGCUCCAAAGCUUCAAAGUCCUCGCCUAAACUUCGAUUACAACGAAGUAGCUAGGAUUCGAAGGAGCCAAAUAUGAAGGUAAAUCUCUUUUCCUUACUCUUUUUCUUUUUAAAAACGAAUAUCAAUCAUGAAGAAAAGCAAAAAGAAAAAUGAAUGAGAUGCUAGAUUUAAAACAAUCACCUUUUCAAUUCGUGAUUUCUACUUUGUUCUAUUUGAUAUCUUUUUGUAUGUGUUUUUUCGUAAAAAAAGAAGGGGCUUUUACAAUCGAAAAAUGAAAGGCUUUAUAGCCGAAUCAUCAAAAUAAAAUAAUAAACACAAUUUUCUUUUUCUUUUUUCGUAUUGGCUUGUUGCUGCUGUUGUUUGUCUGUUUCUUCGUAGGUACGGAGUGUGCCUGGCGCGAGUACGAGGGCUGGGCUGGCGUACGGAGGCGCGGGUGUGGCUGCUAGAGGGUACGGAGGCUGGGGCUGCUGCGGCUCAAGCAGAGACUACUAGGGUUCUGCCUUGAUUUUUUUGUUUUUGGGCUGUAGGAUAUUUGGGUCUAGGUUUGGGCUUGUAAUAAGUUUGGGCUAUGUUAAGGUAUUUGGGUCAUUGUAAUAACUUUGGGCCUUGGACUGUUUCUAUUUUUGUUUGGGUUUUAUAUUUAUUUGUUUGUAACGGGCUGGGCAAAUUUGGCCCACUACAGAAAUGAUAUGUUCUUCAUAUUUUAAUAAAAAUUAAUUAAAUGUAUUUAU
Molecule: long non-coding RNA, 24821 nt
Filed under: Gossypium barbadense (sea-island cotton)
Lineage: Eukaryota; Viridiplantae; Streptophyta; Magnoliopsida; Malvales; Malvaceae
Description: long non-coding RNA (GBAR_LNC007433)
Source: RNAcentral